Non-coding RNA from Kalaharituber pfeilii, 113 nucleotides. NCBI's taxonomy places the organism in Eukaryota, Fungi, Ascomycota, Pezizomycetes, Pezizales, Pezizaceae. The record is from the annotation of a GenBank genome assembly.
GACGUCGUGCCCGAGUGGUUAAGGGGAGUGAUUAGAAUAACUACAAGUGUUCUUCUUGUAACUCAACAAUCACUUACGCUCUGCGUGCGCAAGUUCGAGUCUUGUCGACGUCG